UGGGGAAUAUUGGACAAUGGGCGAAAGCCUGAUCCAGCCAUGCCGCGUGUGUGAAGAAGGUCUUCGGAUUGUAAAGCACUUUAAGAUGGGAGGAAGGGCAGUAAGCGAAUACCUUGCUGUUUUGACGUUACCGACAGAAUAAGCACCGGCUAACUCUGUGCCAGCAGCCGCGGUAAUACAGAGGGUGCAAGCGUUAAUCGGAAUUACUGGGCGUAAAGCGCGCGUAGGUGGUUCGUUAAGUUGAAUGUGAAAGCCCCGGGCUCAACCUGGGAACUGCAUCCAAAACUGGCGAGCUAGAGUAGGGCAGAGGGUGGUGGAAUUUCCUGUGUAGCGGUGAAAUGCGUAGGUAUAGGAAGGAACACCAGUGGCGAAGGCGACCACCUUGGCUCAUACUGACACUGAGGUGCGAAAGCGUGGGGAGCAAACAGG
Molecule: ribosomal RNA, 429 nt
Filed under: Pseudomonadota bacterium
Lineage: Bacteria; Pseudomonadati; Pseudomonadota
Description: Proteobacteria bacterium partial 16S ribosomal RNA
Rfam family: Bacterial small subunit ribosomal RNA
Source: RNAcentral